Lachnospiraceae bacterium 10-1 is the source of this 349-nucleotide non-coding RNA. It matches the Rfam family "transfer-messenger RNA". From Rfam's summary of the family: Bacterial tmRNA, also known as 10Sa RNA or SsrA, is named for its dual tRNA and mRNA-like properties. Its role is to liberate the mRNA from a stalled ribosome. To accomplish this part of the tmRNA is used as a reading frame that ends in a translation stop signal. The record is from Rfam. NCBI's taxonomy places the organism in Bacteria, Bacillati, Bacillota, Clostridia, Lachnospirales, Lachnospiraceae.
GGGAUAGUAAAGGUUUCGACAGGGGCUUUGCAGCUGGAGAAGCUAUCCGCAGGCGAUGCGUUAAAUCGCAAAAAUAAAUAUAAACGCUGAAGAUAAUUUAGCAUACGCUGCCUAAUGGCAGCUGUCUGACCUAGUGCACCUACACAUUAGAAUUCAGGCAUCGACUAUGUAGGAAACGACACAGGUUAAGCUUUGCGCCUGUGGGCGUAUUAUGAAGCUACUGAAUAAAUCGGGGUGUCGGUUUCCUGAUUUAGGAGGGAAUGAGGGUUACCCGAAAUAAUCGACUAUGAUAGUAGAAGGACAGGGAAUGGGUCUUUGGACGCGGGUUCGACUCCCGCCUAUUCCAUAA